RNAcentral lists this ribosomal RNA (253 nucleotides) under uncultured bacterium. RNAcentral's name for it is "partial 16S ribosomal RNA". It matches the Rfam family "Bacterial small subunit ribosomal RNA", at positions 524 to 776 of the family's 1533-position model. The record is from RNAcentral.
UACGGGGGGGGCAAGCGUUGUUCGGAAUUACUGGGCGUAAAGGGUUUGUAGGUGGCCAGCUAAGUCAGACGUGAAAUCCCUCAGCUUAACUGGGGAACUGCGUGUGAGACUGGCAGGCUCGAGGGCAGGAGAGGAACGCGGAAUUCCAGGUGUAGCGGUGAAAUGCGUAGAUAUCUGGAGGAACACCAAUGGCGAAGGCAGCUCGCUGGGACGUGACUGACGCUAAGGAGCGAAAGCUUGGGGAGCGAACCGG